UACGGAGGAUGCGAGCGUUAUCCGGAUUUAUUGGGUUUAAAGGGUGCGCAGGCGGCACGGCAAGCCGGCGGUCAAAUCGCGGGGCUCAACCCCGCCCAGCCGUCGGAACUGCCGGGCUAGAGUGGGCGAGAAGUGCGCGGAAUGCGUGGUGUAGCGGUAAAACGCAUAGAUAUCACGCAGAACUCCGAUUGCGAAGGCAGCGCACCGGCGCCCUACUGACGCUCAGGCACGAAAGCGUGGGUAUCGAACAGG
This 252-nucleotide ribosomal RNA is filed under the name uncultured bacterium. RNAcentral describes it as "partial 16S ribosomal RNA". It matches the Rfam family "Bacterial small subunit ribosomal RNA", at positions 524 to 776 of the family's 1533-position model. The record is from RNAcentral.